UUAACCAACAAUUUGCAUGGUUUACCAAUAAAACAAUUUGUGUUAGCAAUCAUAGAAAAUAUAAUCUACAUUCUUUGCACAUGUAAUCCCACAUGAACGGUGUGUUUUUUUAAUUAGGAGUCGAUUAAUCAACGAAUGCCAACAUUAGAUACGCGCAAUUGGAAAAGAAUUUAAAAUUUUAUUGGCGAAACGUCACAGUCUUAAGAUCGUAAUCGAAUUCGAGAUUAGAUUAAGAUUAUGACCAUAUAUAAUAUUUGCAGUGUUUAAACUAAAGGAAUCUCAUAACAUAA
Molecule: long non-coding RNA, 290 nt
Organism: Drosophila sulfurigaster albostrigata
Lineage: Eukaryota; Metazoa; Arthropoda; Insecta; Diptera; Drosophilidae
Exons: 2
Source: RefSeq, a predicted model, not a curated record